UCCCUGGUAGUCCAGUGGUUAAGACUCUGCGCUCCCAAAGCAGGGGGCCUGGUUCAAUCCCUGGUAGGGGAA
RNAcentral lists this transfer RNA (72 nucleotides) under Bos taurus (domestic cattle). It matches the Rfam family "tRNA". Rfam says of the family: Transfer RNA (tRNA) molecules are approximately 80 nucleotides in length. Their secondary structure includes four short double-helical elements and three loops (D, anti-codon, and T loops). Lineage: Eukaryota; Metazoa; Chordata; Mammalia; Artiodactyla; Bovidae. RNAcentral also lists the same sequence under 2 other names. The record is from Rfam by way of RNAcentral.